GCGCUUAGUUGCCGGGGGUAGACCCGAAACCAAGUGAUCUAGCCAUGGCCAGGAUGAAGCUCGGGUAAAACCGAGUGGAGGUCCGAACCGCAGCAGGUUGAAAACUGCCCGGAUGAGCUGUGGCUAGGGGUGAAAGGCUAAUCAAACUUGGAGAUAGCUGGUUCUCCCCGAAAUAUAUUGAGGUAUAGCCCCACGUGAACACUGUCGGAGGUAGAGCACUGGAUGGGCUAGGGGUCCUACCAGAUUACCGAACCCAACCAAACUCCGAAUACCGGCAAGUGAUGCGCGGGAGUCAGACUGCGGGCGAUAAGGUCCGUGGUCGAGAGGGAAACAACCCAGACCGCCGGCUAAGGUCCCCAAAUUCACGCUAAGUGGGAAAGGAUGUGGAAGCGCUCAAACAACCAGGAGGUUGGCUUAGAAGCAGCCACCCUUUAAAAAGUGCGUAAUAGCUUACUGGUCUAGUGAGUCCGCGCCGAAAAUGUAACGGGGCUCAAGCGUGAUACCGAAGCUGCGGGUUCGUGACACCUUCGGGUGUCUCGAGCGGUAGGGGAGCGUUCCAGCGGCUGUGAAGCUCGACGGAAACGACGGGUGGAGCUGCUGGAAGUGCUUAUGCGGACACGAGUAGCGAUAAAACGGGUGAGAAACCCGUUCGCCGUAAGCCUAAGGGUUCCUGAGUAAAGUUAAUCUUCUCAGGGUUAGUCGGUCCCUAAGCCGAGGGCGAGAGCCGUAGGUGAUGGGAAACGGGUUAAUAUUCCCGUACCACCAGAGGAACGUUCGACCGAAGGGGGGACGGAGAAGGGUAGUCGAUCCGGGUGCUGGAUGUCCCGGUACAAGCCCGUAGGCGGGGGAGGCAGGCAAAUCCACCUCCCCAUUCCAAACGCCGAGAGGUGACGUCGAGAGCCGCAAGGCUCACAAAGUCGAUGAGCCCAUGCUCCCUAGAAAAGCCUCGUAGGGAGUUCGUCUGGUGACCGUACCGCAAACCGACUCAGGUAGGCGGGCAGAGCAUGCCAAGGCGCUUGAGAGAACUCUGGUCAAGGAACUCGGCAAAUUGACACCGUAACUUCGGGAGAAGGUGUGCCUCGGAGGGUGAAGGGACUUGCUCCUGGAGCUCACCGAGGUUGCAGAGAGCAGGGGGUAGCGACUGUUUACUAAAAACACAGGACUCUGCGAACACGGAAGUGGACGUAUAGGGUCUGACGCCUGCCCGGUGCCGGAAGGUUAAGGGGACUCGUCAGCGGCUUCGGCCGCGAAGCGAUGAACCGAAGCCCCGGUAAACGGCGGCCGUAACUAUAACGGUCCUAAGGUGAAUUAGUCGCCUUAGUAAAACUGAACCAUAUGCGGGAAACUCCUCUUACAGCCGCGCGGUACUCGUCGGUCGCAAGGUCCGGCAGUAAAAAUCCGACGGACACGGGGACAAUCCGCAGGGAAGGCUCCUUCUGUCAGGAGAACCCUCAGAGACUUGAUGUUCAGGACUGGCCGAUGAAGCUGGACGCACAAUGGGUCACUGGCUUCGUGGAUGGUGAAGGAUGUUUCUACGUGGGAGUCAAUCCCCACCAGGAGAUGUCGGCAGGAUUCCAGGUCCUGCCGGAGUUCACCGUCGUACAGCACGAGCGUGACACGCAGAUCCUGCACGCCUUGAAGGAUUUCUUCGGGUGCGGCGUGGUUCGGACGAACCACGGCGACCGGAUGGCCUUCCGGGUGCGCGGGAAGGAGCACUUGCUCGAGCGUGUCAUCCCAUUCUUCGUCGAGCAUCCGCUGAAGUCGAAGAAGCGCGCCGAUUUCGAGAAAUUUCGGCGCAUCCUUCUGAUGAUGGACGCGGGCGAGCAUCUGACCGCGGAAGGGAUCGAAAACAUUCGCACGAUCGCCGCGCAGAUGAAUCGAGGCCAGUCAAGGUAAAGUCCGGCCCCGUCGGAAACGGCGGGGGUGAACCGAGCGAAAUUCCUUGUCGGGUAAGUUCCGACCUGCACGAAUGGCGUAACGACUUCCCCACUGUCUCGACCAGAGACUCAGCGAAACUGAAAAGCCGGUGAAGAUGCCGGCGACCCGCGGCAAGACGGAAAGACCCCGUGCACCUUUACUACAGCUUCGCAGUGAUCGUCGGUUCAACAUGUGUAGGAUAGGUGGGAGGCUUUGAAGCCGGGACGCUAGUCUCGGUGGAGCCAACCUUGAAAUACCACCCUUGCUGUGCUGCCGAUCUAACCCAGCCCCGUCAUCCGGGGCGGAGACACUGCGUGGUGGGUAGUUUGACUGGGGCGGUCGCCUCCCAAAGAGUAACGGAGGCGCGCGAAGGUUCCCUCAGGCUGAUUGGAAACCAGCCGCAGAGUGUAAAGGCAUAAGGGAGCUUGACUGCGAGACCUACAAGUCGAGCAGGUGCGAAAGCAGGCCUUAGUGAUCCGGUGGUUCCGCAUGGAAGGGCCAUCGCUCAUCGGAUAAAAGGUACGCCGGGGAUAACAGGCUGAUCUCCCCCAAGAGUUCACAUCGACGGGGAGGUUUGGCACCUCGAUGUCGGCUCGUCACAUCCUGGGGCUGAAGCAGGUCCCAAGGGUUCGGCUGUUCGCCGAUUAAAGUGGCACGCGAGCUGGGUUUAGAACGUCGUGAGACAGUUCGGUCCCUAUCUGCCGUGGGCGUUGGAGAUUUGAGGAGAGCUGUCCCUAGUACGAGAGGACCGGGAUGGACGCACCUCUGGUGUACCGGUUGUCGCGCCAGCGGCACAGCCGGGUAGCCAAGUGCGGAUGGGAUAACCGCUGAAAGCAUCUAAGUGGGAAGCCCACUCCAAGAUGAGAUCUCCCCGGGACUUCGGUCCCCUGAAGGGCCGUCCAAGACGAGGACGUCGAUAGGCCGGAGGUGGAAGCGCAGCAAUGCGUGGAGCUGACCGGUACUAAUCGCCCGUGAGGCUUGACC
RNAcentral lists this ribosomal RNA (2901 nucleotides) under Burkholderiales bacterium. Its description in RNAcentral is "partial 23S ribosomal RNA". It matches the Rfam family "Bacterial large subunit ribosomal RNA", at positions 692 to 2925 of the family's 2925-position model. Lineage: Bacteria; Pseudomonadati; Pseudomonadota; Betaproteobacteria; Burkholderiales. The record is from RNAcentral.